AUUGAACGCUGGCGGCAUGCCUUACGCAUGCAAGUCGAACGGCAGCGCGGGGCAACCUGGCGGCGAGUGGCGAACGGGUGAGUAACAUAUCGGAACAUACCCUAGAGUGGGGGAUAACGUAGCGAAAGUUACGCUAAUACCGCAUACGCACUAAGGUGGAAAGUGGGGGAUCUUCGGACCUCAUGCUCAUGGAGUGGCCGAUAUCUGAUUAGCUAGUUGGUGAGGUAAAGGCUCACCAAGGCGACGAUCAGUAGCUGGUUUGAGAGAACGACCAGCCACACUGGAACUGAGACACGGUCCAGACUCCUACGGGAGGCAGCAGUGGGGAAUUUUGGACAAUGGGGGCAACCCUGAUCCAGCAAUGCCGCGUGAGUGAAGAAGGCCU
RNAcentral lists this ribosomal RNA (385 nucleotides) under uncultured bacterium. RNAcentral's name for it is "bacterial SSU rRNA". It matches the Rfam family "Bacterial small subunit ribosomal RNA", at positions 30 to 417 of the family's 1533-position model. The record is from RNAcentral.